UUCGCCAUAUUGAUAUAGUUUGAGCAUUUAUCUCUCAUCAUUUGUUGUAUGGGAAUGAAUAAACCUGUUCUAUAACCAUUUGAGUCCAACUUUUUGCUUUUAAUUAGACCUAUUCAAUCCCUAUCAUCAUUUAGGCUCAUUCAAUUUCUAUAGGGUUCAACUGUCUACUUUGAGGCCCUUUCGAUUCUUAUACUUGACCAGCCUCUAUUUUGCAAUCCUACUCGGCCGCCGAAGUACUCUUUAUUUUUCAUCUUAAUUUUCAUUCUCAGUUUUGUUAUUGUGAACUCUUCUUUCUUUGUUUACUAGGGUCGGUCCGUCCUACAGGCGGGAAGUUAAUCAAAACUGUUUUAUAUAAAUUUAUAUUAAUUUAUGAGACAUUUAAAAAAUCAUUCUAGAUUGACAAUUAUAUUAUAAAAACAAUAAUGAAUAGAAUUCUGAAAUCAUAUUGUUAUUUUUAAUAAACAUUUUUGGUUUAAAAUUAAAAUAAAAGUAUCCUUCAUUAUUCUCUAUUUUCAGAUAAUACAAAAUUAGCAAAACAAUUCAGAAUAAUGUGAUAAUAUAUAUAUAUAUAUAUAUAUAUAUCUUCUUAUUUUUCUUAAUUCACUUUGACAUAAUAAAAUAAAAUAUUUAUUUUAAAAAGAUAAUACUAUAUUUAUUUUAAGAAGUUUCAAUUUUUUUUAAAAAAAUCUACACUAAUUAAUUUUCAUGAUAAUAUAAAUUAGUCUACCUCCAAGGUAAAUCAGUUAAAUUAUAAUAAAAUUUGGUAAGACAAUUCAAUGUCAGUUUUAGAAUACUAUAUAAAUAGUUUAAUAGUAUCAUAAAUAAUAACUAAUAUUUUCUAAUUUAAAAGGAAAUGAUUGUUUGGAAUAUAUUUGUUUCAGAUCUUAAUUAUAUCUGGAAUAAAAUGUUAAUUAAUUUUUAGUGUUUUACUGGUUAUGUGUUUUCAACUUAUUAUAGCUUUUGUUGAACUUUGUUUAGUAACAAAACUAUUCGUUAGAAGUUUUUCUCAUGCUAUUUUAACUUUAAUUUUUUUUUUGCUAAAUGCUAUUUUAACUUUAGUUACAUCCCUCUUCAAAUCAAAUAAUUUAUUCAAAGAAGUUAGAGUGAAGCAAAACAUAACUAAACAAUAAAGAACUAAAAUGUAAUGUAACUAUUAAUAAUUUGGAAAUCAAUAUGAACCCAACUACAUAUAAAUGUUCUUUCAUAUUCGUUUUUGUUUUCAUCAACUAAAGCCAGAAGAAGUAACUAUAUUCUAUAACUUUUAGUGUUGGCUGUAUGGAACGAAAGUUUAUAAUUCGUAUUUCAUCAAAUAUCCUCUUUUCAUGUUUUAACAUAAUUUGUUCUAUUAUAUUUUUAUUUAACAUUUUUUGUAGUUUAAACGAUUUUAUUUUAAUUAUGUAUUGAAUGUUAUUUUGUAUUUUUUUAAAAAAAUUUAUCAUUCUUUUCGAUUGAACUCAUUUUUUGUAAAAUACACAAAGCUGAUGACAAUUGGUUUAUUAUUGAAAUUUUAGGAUGGUGUUAAUAUAAACUUUCAGGUCAAGCUAAUAUGAAAUGUACAACUUUAUUUGUCAAUCAGAUAUGUAUUACAAAAAAAUGUGCAUUGAAUUUUUUUGUCAAAGUGGCCUUUAAGAUAAGAAGGCAUUUCAAUUUUUGGUUGGAUUUGGUUUAUUUGGUUUUAUUUUAUUUUUUUAAUUCUAAAGAUAUAAGAUAUGUUCGGUUAUUUAUAAUUUGAUUCAGUUCUCGUUCAGUUAUUAUGGUUUUUGGUUUUGUUUGGACAACAAAGUGGGGAACCAGCUAAUAUCAAAAACAAAACCGGGUCCCUUUCGGUUACAUGCGUUUCAUAUUAUUUUGGUUAAUUUGAGUAAAUUUUAUAAAUAAAUUGGUUUUUGCCAGGAAAAAAAAAACAGGUGAUUUGAGUUUUUUUGGAUUUACCAAGUAGUUGAUAUAAUUUUAAAUAAUUUAGGGAAAAUGUAUUCAUAUAAUUCAUUUUAGAUAAUUUAGUUGAUAUCUCACUCAUUUUGACCUUAAAAGUCCUACCGGUGGGAUGAUAUAUUUUCAUUGUGUUUGUGUUAUAGACUGCAAAGGAUGACAUGCGGGACAACUACAGACAACUGUAUUGUGGUUUUAAUAGUAACAAAAAUAUAAGAUACAUAGGUAUAUGUAGAGAUUUUUAUUACUAUUCACGGUGGUACGGUGCGGUGCGGUCGAUCACCAUUCGAAAUCAUAAAAUCGGAUGGUCGUCAUAGAUAAUCAAUCAGCGGUUUAUAUUUUACUAAAAAUUUGUGGCUUUAUAGUGUGUCUUUUUUUUUACCUUAAGAUAUAAUUCAUAUGUUUAUAAUCUGACUAAAAUAAAGUUUCUUGAUUUUAAAAUUUUAGCCAGUCGACUAAUACGUUAGUGAAUUGUGUGUUUGUGUUCUAAGUUUUGACUUGUAAGUCAACUUAAUAUGAGAUGGUCAAUAUAAUGUUCAUUUUUAAUAUUGUUGGAGUGAUUAUGAAUUGGCAUUACGAAUAAUGAUUAAUGGAUCUUGUUUUGUUAUUCUUUUUAGCAAGGAUCUUGUUUUGUUAUUCAUUUGACUUAUUUGCGCUAUAAAGUGAUGGAUUCUGCAUACUAUACGUUUGACUGAAUCUUAAGAGUAAGGGUUGAUGUUUUAUUUUUUUCACGUGUAUUGUUAGAUUUUGGGAUGGGUUUUGGAUGCUUGCGCUGUUAUCUACUCUCUGGACUUGUCCUCUUCUACUUUAUAAUCAAUCAAAUGAAUGUUGACCGGAAAAAAAAAGAAAAGAAAAAAUAUAUAUGUGUUUAAUUGCAUAUACACGUGGAGUGUUCCUUUAGUUAGGUGAGACUGAAUUCAAGAAGAAACAAAAGAGAAAGGACUAAACUGCAAAUAGGUGUAACUUAAGUUGUUUAUCAGAUCUAGGGUCUUCUACAUUUAUAUUGGCCGAUCUCAAAUUCUUUACGGGAUGAGUCUCGUCGCCUGAUGAAGGAAAAAUCACGGCUUGAGCUCCUCUGCAAUUGGAGGUGAGAGCGAUGAUUUUGGGAGCUGAGAUGGUUGUUGGUCGUGAUCUUAGAAGAUCGCAGCGGUGAAAAAGAUGAACGUCCUCACGCCACUAAGAAAGCUUAAACACGACAAAGGAGGGAGGUAAUCACGGUUGGACCACCGGAGAUCAAUCGGAGCGGCAACAAAGAUGACAUGAGAAGUCGCAAGAGAAGUCGCGGGGUGCCAUGGCGAGGAGUCGAGGUGGCCGAGACGAAUAAGGUAUACAGUUUCGUAUUAAAUGAUAAAUUGUGGUGGAUGGAGUUAUGAAGGGCUUUAAGGCGAUGUAUCUGUCAAUGAGGAAGAAGAUUGAACGACGUGAGAAAAAUCUCUACCAACAUAUUCAUCUCCCCGACUCCAUCGACCCAAUCCCUAGAAUCAGAGUUGUUGUGUAGAGACGUUACACGCUCACUAUCGGGAUGGGUUUUAGCCUAAAGCCCACAUAAAAGAUGUAACCCAUAUAUCUAUUCAAUUUUUUAAAUGAAACGCAACGUAUAAGCAAAA
Long non-coding RNA from Brassica napus (rape), 3536 nucleotides. RefSeq lists it as uncharacterized. The record is from RefSeq and is a predicted model, not a curated record. NCBI's taxonomy places the organism in Eukaryota, Viridiplantae, Streptophyta, Magnoliopsida, Brassicales, Brassicaceae. The transcript has 2 exons.